UGCUCGAGUGGCGAACGGGUGAGUAACACGUGAGUAACCUGCCCUUGACUUUGGGAUAACUUCAGGAAACUGGGGCUAAUACCGGAUAGGAGCUCCUGCUGCAUGGUGGGGGUUGGAAAGUUUCGGCGGUUGGGGAUGGACUCGAGGCUUAUCAGCUUGUUGGUGGGGUAGUGGCUUACCAAGGCUUUGACGGGUAGCCGGCCUGAGAGGGUGACCGGCCACAUUGGGACUGAGAUACGGCCCAG
RNAcentral lists this ribosomal RNA (245 nucleotides) under uncultured Actinomycetales bacterium. RNAcentral's name for it is "partial 16S ribosomal RNA". It matches the Rfam family "Bacterial small subunit ribosomal RNA", at positions 88 to 334 of the family's 1533-position model. Lineage: Bacteria; Bacillati; Actinomycetota; Actinomycetes; Actinomycetales. The record is from RNAcentral.